UUGAUUUUUUUUUUUUUUUCUUUAAUAGAAUGCAUAUUUAUUAAUGAACGAUAUACCUUUCGUUGGGAUUUUACUAGGAGUUGAAAAGGCAGCUGCCAAAUUUAAGGUGAAAAAAGAGAUGGUACAAGAGCUGAUAGCAGACUUGAAUUUUGACUCACAC
RNAcentral lists this non-coding RNA (160 nucleotides) under Ctenophora environmental sample. Lineage: Eukaryota; Metazoa; Ctenophora. The record is from RNAcentral.